Molecule: long non-coding RNA, 412 nt
Filed under: Rattus norvegicus (Norway rat)
Lineage: Eukaryota; Metazoa; Chordata; Mammalia; Rodentia; Muridae
Description: long non-coding RNA NONRATT020270
Source: RNAcentral
UUUAUUUAUGCUCCCCGGGAGCCUGGGAUCUGGCUGCUCGGGAGCCGCUGGCUCUGCCUUUCCCUUUCCGGGUGCAAGGCGACAGCAAAGUCUCUAUGCAACUCAGCCCCGGCGCGUACUUUGCCAGGUAUGUACGGCGGGCGAGGCGCGUUCUGCGCGGAGGCAGAUGCUGCUGCCGCCACGGCGGCGGCGGCUGCCAGCUCCCGAGCUCUAUAACUGUCACACUGCACCUGAGCUGAACUUGAACAGAGAGUGAAGGGGCCCAUCAGGCGAACGCUCUCUUUCGGCUGGCACAGAGGGUGUCAGUCGACGUGAGGGGACAGAGAACUCUAGACCGACGCCCCCCGCCGCGAGCCCUGCACUUCACCUCCAUCUCUGCAAGCGCAGCGUUGAGUAGAGGAGGCCAGCGGAC